UGUUUCAAUUAAGUUUGUUUUUUUCGGUCAUCUUUCUUUUUUUAAAGUUAAAGUUCCAAAUUUGAUUUGGCUGUGUGAAUGUUCCUUUAUUUUCCCAUUUGAGAUUCUUAUUGAUGUUGGAUUAUCCUUUUGGUUGGGUGAUUAAGUUUGAUUUAGAUAUGUAAAUAUGUCAAAUUUGAUUUAGGUAUGUGAAACUUUUUUUCGUCAUCUUCCUUUUCAUCAAUGUUGAAGUUCCCAAAUUUGAUCUGGAGACCCUUUUAAGCCCAAAGGUCUUUUCUGGUUUUCUGGUAAAGGUCCAGCAGAGAUUUUAUUGUCUUUAGAUGUUCUGCUCAUCUGGUCAUGAAAGUUGAAAGCACAUAUCCAUGGUUUUCGUGUUCUAUUUUGGAUUUCUGUUUCACAUUUUUGUUCUGCUUUCUCAAAUGUAGUAACCUUUCUUUAUCAGAAUUUCUAUUGUUAUGUAGAAAAAGAGCGUAUUGGAACCAAUUGUUGUGCUCUUUCUCUGUUGAUACCUCUUUACAGGGAAUGAUUUAAUAAUAAAGUGUUCCGUGAAACAUAAAAUAUGAAGACAA
Long non-coding RNA from Solanum pennellii, 569 nucleotides. RefSeq lists it as uncharacterized. The transcript has 3 exons. NCBI's taxonomy places the organism in Eukaryota, Viridiplantae, Streptophyta, Magnoliopsida, Solanales, Solanaceae. The record is from RefSeq and is a predicted model, not a curated record.